Rhineura floridana is the source of this 427-nucleotide long non-coding RNA. RefSeq lists it as uncharacterized. The record is from RefSeq and is a predicted model, not a curated record. The transcript is spliced from 3 exons. Lineage: Eukaryota; Metazoa; Chordata; Lepidosauria; Squamata; Rhineuridae.
ACAGUAUUUUUCCUAACAGAGCCCAGCACUUUCCAGGGGGCCACAUCGCUGGCUUCAGGGUGUGUGAACCCCGCAACCGUCACUCUUGGGGCGUUCUCUUGUGUGAAGCCGUUCCGUGCGAGAGGACAGAAGCACAAAUCAGGAGUCUGUAUACCAUAGACUACACUCUUGGAUUGUAAUUGCUGCAGACUACUGUUCUGAAGGCAUUUAACAGGAAGAGAAAGGAGAGAGACAAAGGGAAGAAGGGAAAGCUGGAAACUAUUCGGGGCAGGUUUGUUGAUUGGUUUCUGAAGCUAGCCAAGAUCUAUGCUGUCGAGGGUGCCCUGUGCCCAGCAGAAGCUCUGGGCCAGGCAGGACACAGUGGCAUCUCGUAGAGGACACCCUCCCCUUUCCUGGGGUAUUUGAGUUGUCCUGGCCCAGAGCAGAU